This 31-nucleotide non-coding RNA is filed under the name Rattus norvegicus (Norway rat). Lineage: Eukaryota; Metazoa; Chordata; Mammalia; Rodentia; Muridae. The record is from RNAcentral.
AUGGUGUCUGAACCAGCUGGUCCUCAGCAGA